This is a non-coding RNA of Pelobates cultripes (western spadefoot toad), 157 nucleotides long. The record is from the annotation of a GenBank genome assembly. NCBI's taxonomy places the organism in Eukaryota, Metazoa, Chordata, Amphibia, Anura, Pelobatidae.
GCAGACACAUUCCAGCCAAUCAGCAGCAGACCCUCCCUCCCAGGCCCUCCCACCUCCUGGACAGCAUCCAUUGUGAAGCUGCAUUCUUAGUGAGCUGUCCAGGAGGUGGGAGGGUCUGGGAGGGAGGGUCUGCUGCUGAUUGGCUGGAAUGCGUCUG